This 400-nucleotide ribosomal RNA is filed under the name uncultured bacterium. RNAcentral's name for it is "bacterial SSU rRNA". It matches the Rfam family "Bacterial small subunit ribosomal RNA", at positions 359 to 776 of the family's 1533-position model. The record is from RNAcentral.
GAAUCUUCGGCAAUGGGCGCAAGCCUGACCGAGCCAUGCCGCGUGAGCGAUGAAGGCCUUAGGGUUGUAAAGCUCUUUCGCCAGGGAAGAUAAUGACGGUACCUGGUAAAGAAACCCCGGCUAACUCCGUUCCAGCAGCCGCGGUAAUACGGAGGGGGUUAGCGUUGUUCGGAAUUACUGGGCGUAAAGCGCGCGUAGGCGGACUGGAAAGUUGGGGGUGAAAUCCCAGGGCUCAACCCUGGAACUGCCUCCAAAACUAUCAGUCUGGAGUUCGAGAGAGGUGAGUGGAAUUCCGAGUGUAGAGGUGAAAUUCGUAGAUAUUCGGAGGAACACCAGUGGCGAAGGCGGCUCACUGGCUCGAUACUGACGCUGAGGUGCGAAAGCGUGGGGAGCAAACAGG